Molecule: ribosomal RNA, 315 nt
Filed under: uncultured eukaryote
Lineage: Eukaryota
Description: partial 18S ribosomal RNA
Rfam family: Eukaryotic small subunit ribosomal RNA
Source: RNAcentral
CCCUUAGAUGUUCUGGGCCGCACGCGCGCUACACUGAUUCAUGCAACAAGCAUCCGUCCUUGGCCGACAGGCUCGGGCAAUCUUUGAACGCUGGUCGUGAUGGGGAUAGACUUUUGCAAUUUUUGGUCUUCAACGAGGAAUUCCUAGUAAACGCAAGUCAUCAACUUGCAUUGAUUACGUCCCUGCCCUUUGUACACACCGCCCGUCGCACCUACCGAUUGAAUGGUCCGGUGAAGCCUCCGGAUUGGCGCGCACCUCGGUGCCGCCGAGAAGUUGGCUAAACCUUACCAUUUAGAGGAAGGUGAAGUCGUAACA